This is an RNA transcript of Scatophagus argus, 7325 nucleotides long. It is a transcript of the gene named caspase recruitment domain family, member 14, with no coding region annotated. The transcript is spliced from 25 exons. The record is from RefSeq and is a predicted model, not a curated record. NCBI's taxonomy places the organism in Eukaryota, Metazoa, Chordata, Actinopteri, Scatophagidae.
AUUUCCUGUACCUGGUGAUUUCCUACAUCCUCCAAAGUCUUUAUGUUAAUAACAUCAUUUACAGUAGGGUGCAUUGAUAGCUUCCAUUUGUUUGCAUAAUCCUUUUACGGUACAGUAAGCACUAAGUCCACACAAAGGUUGUAAGUUAGCUAACAGCAUGAGAAACCCUUGCACUGACAUCCCGUGUCAGCUACUCGCCCAACCUUAUUUCCUUCUUUAACAAAGGACUUUGCACUUCAUAGCCCAGUGUUUGCUCCUAUCAGCAGUGUGGUAUGUGUUUGCUUUACUGUGAUUAGGAAUUAUUAAGGUGAACACAUCUAAUUUUGUAGUCUUUGUUAGUUUAGACCAUAGGCUGUGGCUUGAUUCAAUUCAUCAGACAACUCUGGCUGCACUUUAUAAAGUGAGACAAAGGUUUAUGGUGUGAUUAGGUAUCGAGUUAGCUGCUGAAAACAAACAAGCUUUACUGAAAGCUUGAAACGUGUGGCUCUCUUGACUAAUGGUUUGUGCGUGUCUGACUGUUUAUCUGAAUUGUGAUUGUGCGUAUGAUCCUGUUUUUGAGCUCUGUUUGCACCAGCAUGUGUUUUGCAUGUGCCAGCCUCACUACUGUCUUGUUUCUCUGCUCUCUUCACACAGGUCUCUUCACACAGGUCUUGUCUUACAGGUUUUUCUACACGCCCACAUAUAAACACACACACAUGCUUUGACACAAACACCCACAGGGCGUGGAAAGAGCGCUGGCCCUUUUAUAGUGCUUUUCUGUCUCUUCCAGUCAGCCUGUCGCUGACUUGUUCCAGGAACAAGUGUAUGACAAGUGUCUUUCCAACGGAGUUUGUGUGCUUGCUCCGUUUGCUCCAGCUGUGCCCAUCGUCUUAGCAGCAGGCAAACACACACAACCCACUGGGAUGGCAGGAGAGUGUAUUCCCGAGGGUCCAGACCUGAGAGAGAUGGGCGAGGAGGAACUGUGGGAACUGAUUAACGACAAUCGCCACAGGAUCUCCUUGGGAGUGCGGCCAUGCAUCCUGAUCCCGUAUCUGAGGCAGGCCAGGGUGCUCACAGAGAUGGACGAGGAUGAGAUCCUCUCCUGUCACAACCUCACCAACCGCAGCAUGAGAACCAGCUAUAUGCUUGAUCUGCUGAGGACCCAGGGGAGGAAUGGUGCUGUGGCCUUGCUGGACGGUCUUAUGAUCCACUACCCGACCCUGUACACGCAAGUCACUGGACGCAAACCCAGCACAGAGCCUUCACGAUUCAGUGGCCUGAUUAAGUACUCAGAGCUGACAGAGUAUCUGGUCAGAGCAGUAACAGGUAUGCAGAAGGAGCUCCAGGAAGCGCGUUGCGAGGCUGGCAGGAUGAGUGCACGCUGUGCCUCCCUGGAGUCAGAGAUUAGGGAGAUGAUUGGGCAGGAGGAGAAGUCCACAGGCCUUCAAACUGAAAACGAACGCAUGCGGAGACACUUGUGCUCUUUGCAACAUGAAGUCACCAAGCUGAAGGAUGAGAAGUGCGAAUUGUAUAUGCGCUACACAGCAGCUAUCGAGGAAAAAUCAGCUGUGAACAUGCGCCUCCAUGACCUCAACCUGCAGCUGUACCAGCUGCAGAUAGAGCUGCAGAAAGCACAGACGGAGAAUGAGUUCCAGAAGAGACAGUCGCUCAGAUGUGCCCCUCACGCUGACCCACAACUGCAAGAGGAAAUCAGGAACCUGCGCUGUCAGCUGUUGAAAGCAGAAAAACUGGACCCAGCCCAUCAGGACAUCCUGGCCCAGGACCUGGCUGAGGCCAUAGACAGCCAGCUGGAGCUUGCAGAACAGCUCAGGUGUUUCAGAGAGGAGAAUGAAAUGCUGCUCGCCGAGAAACAAGGGCUCUUAGAUCAGAAGGAGUGCCUAAGCCUCCAGGUGCAGCAGCUGACCCAGGAUUGUAACAUGCACCAGCAGAAGAACACUGUGAUCCAGAACCAGAUGAGAGAGCUGCAGGCAGAGAGAGACCAGGCAUACUUGUCCAGAGAUGAGGCCCAGGCCAUGAUCGCCCGUGUCCUCGCUGAGAAGGACACCCUCAGGUGUCAGCUGGUUGAGCUCCAAGAGCGGGUUUUCAGUCUGCAGGUCAAACAUCCCAGGGAACAACGGCAGAGCUGUGAUGAGGGGGGGGUGGACUGGGAGAGCCCAGUAUCCAGCUGUAAAGAAUACCCGUUCCCAGCUCGACGUAGACUUUGCCGCAUGGAUGCAGUCAAUCCCAUGAUACCCAGGUCCUGCAAUUCAGAGUGUGAAGAUGCUGUAAUAAGUAGUGUCCGAUCCCGAAAUGUGGAGCCCCCAAAUCCAGAGUCUCUCCGCAGAAGGGAAGAAGCUUUGUAUGCAGACAGCAGCUUGGAAACAGAGGAGAGUGACUCUCUAUUAGACGACUUUGUGUUUCUCCCCAAAGUGAGCAGUGAAGACAAACAGACAUCCAGGCUUUCCUCUUCUAAUGGCUCCAGCACUAAUGGCCUGUCAAGAACCUCAGCCCCUCCCUUCCUGAUGCGUUCUCGCGCAAAAGCAAUGCGCAUCAACGGCCGUGUACUCACCAUCUCCCUCCAGGGUGAGGCCCUGCUCAGCCAACUAGCAGUGGUAGGAGGCAACAAGACUGGAGUGUUUGUACAUCAGGUGACAGAAGGAAGCCCUGCUCAUACUGUUGGCAUCAGCCCUGGGGCACAGAUCGUGGAGGUGAAAUAUGAGCAGAACCAGAAGGCUCUAAGGAUGGUGCUGGAGGAUUCCACUUUAGAGGAAGCUAUGUGGGCUCUUGGCCAGAUUACUGGUCUCUGUCACCUCUCCCUCCGGCCCAGACAAGAUGAUUACGAGGUGCUGCUGCAACAGCUGCAGAACAAUGAGGCGUCAUCUGGAGACUCAUUCUACGUGCGUGUCAACAUGUCCUUCCCCCCCGGACCCAAUGGAACCCUGGCCGUCUCCUGCAACGACAUCCUUCAUGUGACCAACACACGACCUGCUGGCACCGAGGACUCAUGGCACGCCAGCCAAGUUCACCCCUGUCAGCUACUGGACCUCCAGAGUGGAACUGUACCCAACUAUUACAGGGCACAGCGACUUCUGAUUCGAGCAAUUGAGGACAUGAGCUUUCAAACAAAGAGGUGUCAAAAGGUUUGCCGUGUGGUGACCAAGAAUAAGGAGCAAGCAGUGAGGAUUGUCAGCACCGGGCGCCAGGGCAGGAACCCAAUGUGGGUCAGUGUGGAGGAUGAAAAGACCACAGACUCAGGUGACCCAUCUGCAGCCAAAAGUUGUGUAUCCCUCAUGCCUUACACCCUGGUCACCCCUCACUACCCACCCAUUUGCAGGCCUGUCCUGCUGCUGCCCACCAUCCUAGGACGCAUCCUGGACAAGAAACUGGCAGGCUGGCAAGGCUUUCAGCUAUGUGAGCCUGAGGUGCUGAGCCCCAGUGAGCAUGCAGCCCAGCUGCAGAGGUCAGAGAUUCUGGAGGAAUGUGAGCAAGGACAAAACUGCUGCUACACCCUGAAGAGUGUCGAGAAAGUCAUGAAGAAGGGGAUUCACUGUGUGCUGCCGCUGGGGCUGGACUGCGUGCGGAGGCUGCAUCGGGCCGACAUCUUCCCUAUUAUUAUUUUCAUUGGCCAGUCUGCACGUAGUGCACGGAAACUGAGGUCAAAGCUGCAGCGCCACAGCCAGUCAGAGGAGCAGCUGCUGGCAUGUUCGAAGAGCGAGGAGCCGCUGCUGGACAAGCUGCCGUGUCUGUAUCACAGCGUGGACCCAGACUCCUGGUGUGACCAGGCCUCCCUGCUGACCAACCUGCGCACCAUCAUCUGGGAGGAGCAGAAGAAGAUUGUCUGGGUAGAGCCUGACCUGUGGUGAAACGGAGGAAAACCUAAAAAUAAUAGAGAAAAAUCGAAAGAUAACAGAAACAGCCUUUUGCGAAUAUAAACAAGCUUUACAAGAAAUAUUUUUGUAAACAUGAGUAUGUAUCUAUGAUACUUAUGAGUAACUGAGUGAAGGAAGAACUUGGAGUGUAAGAAGCUAUAUGACUAUUUAGUGUACCCAGAAAUAUUUUCUACUUUGCGUUGCCUCCCUUUUUGAGGCAUUUAUUUAAAGUAAACACUGGUGUGAGGUGUCCUUUAAAAACACAAACAUUUAUCAUUAAAAUAUACUGCAAUGACAUGUACCGUAUCUCCACAAUAUGUUGUAGGUCAUUUCCAACCAGGAGGAAUUAUCUUUUAACGCUCUGCCGAAACCUUCUCUUGUGUUAAGUAGAAUGAGCUACAGUAUGUUGUCAUUUGAAUUUUGGGGAAUAAUUAGAUAUAGUGUAACAUACUUGUCAGUGAACAUCAGUCAGCUUAUCUCUCCUAAAACUCACAGAUUUUGGAAUGAAACUCAACGAUGUGCAUGUGGUUAGAGUGAGUAAAGAGAUCUGUUGAGUUCAUGACAGGCAUGUUACUGCACUUCUUCUUUUAAGGAGCUCCUCUCUUUUUCCUUCUCUUCUUCUUUCUCUUCUGCUUGGCACCGGCCAAAAUUUCAAAAACUUCAUGACAUACCUUUGAAAUAGUAAUGACUUAGUGCACAAACUAUUCUGCAUUACACAGUGUAUUCUCCCUGAGAAAACAUGAAACCAGAUUAAAAAAACAAAGAAUGGUAACUUGGUGAACUUGGUAACACUGCUGAGCUACGUGUGUGUGUGUGUGUGUGUGUGUGUGUGUGUGUGUGUGUGUGCUUUAAAAGGCAUAUUUUGCAGGCCUGCAGGCACAUGAAACACAACUUUGUUGAGUGCUUACAGCCUCUUGGAAUUUAAGAUAAGAUUCUUAUCAGGACAUGAAAAAAUCUGCGUGAUGUUCACAUUUUGUUUUUUGCCAAAAUGACAUGAAAGAUGUGACGUCUGUUUUUGCUGGCCCAGUGUCGGAAUUUAACUGUCUCCAGAGCAUACGAUACACUCAGUUACUUCCUCAGCAAAGACAUUCUUUUAAUUUCGAGUGCUGACCCUCUGAUGACCCAGUGUGGUGUGAAACAUGUCACACAGGAGUGGCUGCAAACCCAAGUGAUACAAGGAAAGGCAGCUAGGCUGAAGUGGAUGUCGGGUGGAAUUAGAUGCUAGCAGACAAUUUGAUUUCUUCGUCUUCAAGGCUUCCUACUCCUCCCCAGACACAGGCAGCACAGAGGGCCUCUGUGCUGUCCUGGAAGUUCACAUGUGGCCACAGGUGGAAAACCAACAGUACAGUGUCACCCAAACUCAGACACCACCCCCAGGCUUGAGCAUAAGGAGAAAAUGGAAAUAGCCAACACUGAACCGAUGCAGUCAAUACCACUCUCCACAAAAGGGCUGUGAGAGAUGCUCUCCGCCUUAGAGCAAGACCGAUGGAUGGAGGAGUGGGCGAUAGCCGGAAUAUGUUCAGCAUCCUUUGCAUCCAAAAGGAACAUCCAAUCAUGUGACUGUUUGCCAUAACCUGAGGUGAAGAAUUCCACUGUGAGGUUAAGGAAUGGAGAGUAAGUUGGAAGAGAAUGUGGUAUCAUCAUGGGAUGUGUUGUAAACCAGUCUGUGACUGAAAGAGAAUGAUGAAGCCCCACAUCAUCACAGAUAGUUACAAAAAGCCCUGAAUUCUCACUCACCUGGCCCCUUUUCUCCCCUGGCAGAAGUCCUUCAUAGAAAUCACCUAGGAGAUUUAGCAUUUUUAUUUCUUUAUUUCUUUUUAAAUGUAGGUGUGGCAGAAUGUCACAAAUUGCAGCAAUUGCAAUUGUGGCAAUUUUUAAAUGAACUUGGAAAAAUGUGGUUUGUAAAAAUUGUAUUAACCUCUGUCAAAGUCAGUGUUUAGUUUGUUAUUUUGAAAGACAAAGAUUUAGCUGUCCAUUCAUAGAUGGAGGUCAAAGGUAGUAAAAUGUCCUCAGGAUAAUGUGUCACAAGGUUAGGGACAAUUUAGUUACACCUUCCCGUAAGUGGUCAUUACAGUAAAUGCUGUGUGUGUGUGUGUGUAUGUGUUUUUUUAUAGAGUGAGUGAGUGUGUGAGAGAGAGAAGAGAGAGCGAGAGACAGUCACAGGCACAGAGUGUGUGUGUGGCACUGGAUCAGUAGUGAGAGACGGUGACACACUGUCAGUUCAGCUUUGUCACCAGAGCAAACAUUGUGUGUCUGUGUCAGAGAACGUGUGUGUAUAAGCCGGUGUGUGAGUGGGAUGUGUGCUGUCGUUACUAAAGCACUAUUGGCAGAAAAGACACAGCACCUGCUGAUGGUGACGUAUGUCAUGCCACUUGCUGAAGGAUGUAGGAAUAUAUUUUUACAACAUCUCUCUCUUAAUUUCCUGUCUGCUAACAGAUUUGUAGGCAGUGGCACAUACUGUGAAGAGAAUCAAGCCACAUGCCAACAAUAAUACUACUGCUGAAAAAUAAAAUGUAAGGAUUUCUUACAUUUCUACACUUGUCAAGUUGAUAUUAAUGCAUUGCAAAGAUAUCAUCAGGCAACUCUCCAACUCUCCAAAACCUAAACUUCAGUCAGAGACACUUGUGUCAAGAAAUGUAUAUAUAGUUUUAUAGUUAAUUGUUAUGCAGUUAGAUUUGGCAGAAAAGAGUCUGGUGUAUUUAGGGCGUCCUCAAAGGAUCAGCAGCAAUGAGCGUUCUGCUGAAAUAGCAAUUUAGGAGAACUUUGGGGCCAAGUCAACCCCUCUAACUUGUUCUUCUUAUUCUCAAACCGUUCUUGAACCAUUUUUGCAGUGUGGCAGGUGCAUCAUCCUGCUGAAGGAAGCCACUGCCAUAAAAUAAUAUGGUACUCAUUUUCCCUGAAGGGGUGUUCUUCCUUGGUACACGUACCACCUACUUAAGCAGCAACAAUGUGUGGUACAUGUCAAAGUAACAUCCACAUGAAUGGAAGGACCCAAGGUUUCCCAGCAGAACAUUGCCCAAAGCGUCACACUGCCUCUGCUGGUUUACCUUCAUCCCAUAGUGCAUCCUGGUGCCAUGUCCUCCCCAGGUAAGAGAUGCACACAAACACCUGACCAUCCACAUGAUGGAAAGGCAGACGUGAUUGACCACACCGGACCACCUUCUUCCAUUGCUCUGUGCUCCAGUUCUGAUGCUCACAUGCCCAUUGUGGGCACUUUUGGCAGUAGACAUGGGUCAGACUUACCUGUUUGCAGCUCCACAGAUUGAACAGAUGGCCAUCUGUUCAAUCAUGAAGUAGCUGGUAAGUAACUAUUUCAGGUUGCAUUAAGAAGCAGAAAGUCAAACGCUGAACCUGAAUUUCUGUCAGGCCUUUCACACAGCCAGUAGUGUCCACAGACACCCGUGUCAGACGAAGCAUUACGAAAAGUCUGUCUCACCUCCACCUAAUUAAAAUAGUAACUCAUUGUGAUUAUUUUAG